This 465-nucleotide ribosomal RNA is filed under the name uncultured bacterium. Its description in RNAcentral is "partial 16S ribosomal RNA". It matches the Rfam family "Bacterial small subunit ribosomal RNA", at positions 28 to 507 of the family's 1533-position model. The record is from RNAcentral.
GACGAACGCUGGCGGCGUGCUUAACACAUGCAAGUCGAACGGAAAGGCUCUGCUUGCAGGGUACUCGAGUGGCGAACGGGUGAGUAACACGUGGGUGAUCUGCCCUGCACUUCGGGAUAAGCCUGGGAAACUGGGUCUAAUACCGGAUAGGAGCCAUUUUUAGUGUGAUGGUUGGAAAGUUUUUUCGGUGUAGGAUGAGCUCGCGGCCUAUCAGCUUGUUGGUGGGGUAAUGGCCUACCAAGGCGGCGACGGGUAGCCGGCCUGAGAGGGUGGACGGCCACAUUGGGACUGAGAGACGGCCCAGACUCCUACGGGAGGCAGCAGUGGGGAAUAUUGCACAAUGGGCGCAAGCCUGAUGCAGCGACGCCGCGUGGGGGAUGACGGCCUUCGGGUUGUAAACUCCUUUCGCUAGGGACGAAGCUUUUUGUGACGGUACCUAGAUAAGAAGCACCGGCUAACUACGUG